RNAcentral lists this long non-coding RNA (328 nucleotides) under Lathyrus oleraceus (garden pea). RNAcentral's name for it is "Pisum sativum (pea) long non-coding RNA (PSAT_LNC020007)". Lineage: Eukaryota; Viridiplantae; Streptophyta; Magnoliopsida; Fabales; Fabaceae. The record is from RNAcentral.
UCGCUUCUCUUCAAUCAAAUUCGAUUGGUCAUAACGACUCUGAAUCCAUUCAGCAUCAGUCAACUAGGGACUUUGAGGGUGCUAUUUUUCUUUUGUUUCUUUCUUUCUUUUUCUUUCUUUUGAUUUUGAUUGUGAUUUUUUCUUAUUUUGCACCCUCCUCUUUUUGUAUUUUUUUUUUGUUUGUUUUAAUGCCCCAGUUGGCUGUUCUGCUGAUUCUCGAGAUGCAGCUGAGUAAUCUUCUUUUCUUGCUCAAGAAGUCGGGAAAUACCGUCAGGAAUCCCUUCAACAUCAUCUUCUUCCGCUUCGAAUACAGGGAAUUCAAAAUUGG